This 103-nucleotide non-coding RNA is filed under the name Ditylum brightwellii. The record is from RNAcentral. Lineage: Eukaryota; Bacillariophyta; Thalassiosirophyceae; Lithodesmiales; Lithodesmiaceae.
CGCACGUUACUUGAAGGUGUUCCGUCACCACAUCGCAUGUUUUCUUCUCCAUCGCCAUCAUUGCCAUCGAUCUCGCCACCCACAAAACAAAAUCGAAGACUCU